This 468-nucleotide ribosomal RNA is filed under the name uncultured bacterium. RNAcentral describes it as "partial 16S ribosomal RNA". It matches the Rfam family "Bacterial small subunit ribosomal RNA", at positions 28 to 507 of the family's 1533-position model. The record is from RNAcentral.
GAUGAACGCUGGCGGCGUGCUUAACACAUGCAAGUCGAACGGAAAGGCCGAAGCUUGCUUCAGUACUCGAGUGGCGAACGGGUGAGUAACACGUGGGUGAUCUGCCCUGUACUUCGGGAUAAGCUUGGGAAACUGGGUCUAAUACCGGAUAUGACGAUCUCUUGGAUGGGGUUGUGGAAAGCUUUUGCGGUAUGGGAUGAGCUCGCGGCCUAUCAGCUUGUUGGUGGGGUAAUGGCCUACCAAGGCGUCGACGGGUAGCCGGCCUGAGAGGGUGUACGGCCACAUUGGGACUGAGAUACGGCCCAGACUCCUACGGGAGGCAGCAGUGGGGAAUAUUGCACAAUGGGCGCAAGCCUGAUGCAGCGACGCCGCGUGGGGGAUGACGGCCUUCGGGUUGUAAACUCCUUUCGCAAUCGACGAAGCCUUUUGGUGACGGUAGGUUGAGAAGAAGCACCGGCUAACUACGUG